UACAACUUUCAGCGGUGGAUGUCUAGGUUCCCACAACGAUGAAGAACGCAGCGAAAUGCGAUACGUAAUGCGAAUUGCAAGACCUCGUGAAUCAUUAAGAUUUUGAGCACAUUGCGCUUUCGGGAUUUUCCCGGUAGCAUGCUUGUCUGAGUGUCUGUG
This 159-nucleotide ribosomal RNA is filed under the name Pseudo-nitzschia delicatissima. RNAcentral's name for it is "5.8S ribosomal RNA". It matches the Rfam family "5.8S ribosomal RNA". Rfam says of the family: 5.8S ribosomal RNA (5.8S rRNA) is a component of the large subunit of the eukaryotic ribosome. It is transcribed by RNA polymerase I as part of the 45S precursor that also contains 18S and 28S rRNA. Lineage: Eukaryota; Bacillariophyta; Bacillariophyceae; Bacillariales; Bacillariaceae. The record is from RNAcentral.